GACGAACGCUGGCGGCGUGCUUAACACAUGCAAGUCGAACGGAAAGGCCCUGCUUGCAGGGUACUCGAGUGGCGAACGGGUGAGUAACACGUGGGUGAUCUGCCCUGCACUUCGGGAUAAGCCUGGGAAACUGGGUCUAAUACCGGAUAGGAGCCAUUUUUAGUGUGAUGGUUGGAAAGUUUUUUCGGUGUAGGAUGAGCUCGCGGCCUAUCAGCUUGUUGGUGGGGUAAUGGCCUACCAAGGCGGCGACGGGUAGCCGGCCUGAGAGGGUGGACGGCCACAUUGGGACGGAGAUACGGCCCAGACACCUACGGGAGGAAGCAGUGGGGAAUAGUGAACAAUGGGCGAAAGCCUGAUGCAGAGACGCCGCGUGGGGGAUGACGGACUUCGGGUUGUAAACGACUUUCGCUAGGGACGAAGCAUUUUGUGACGGUACCUAGAUAAGAAGCACCGGCUAACUACGUG
RNAcentral lists this ribosomal RNA (465 nucleotides) under uncultured bacterium. RNAcentral describes it as "partial 16S ribosomal RNA". It matches the Rfam family "Bacterial small subunit ribosomal RNA", at positions 28 to 507 of the family's 1533-position model. The record is from RNAcentral.